Molecule: long non-coding RNA, 366 nt
Organism: Carcharodon carcharias (great white shark)
Lineage: Eukaryota; Metazoa; Chordata; Chondrichthyes; Lamniformes; Lamnidae
Exons: 2
Source: RefSeq, a predicted model, not a curated record
UUUACUUUUGCCACAUACCGGUUAUUGAGCAAUCUGUUUGUUACUGUCGCCUUCAACAUAUCAUGAUCCUGCUUCUUGUACAUUAACUUUUAGUCUUGUUAAAAUAAUGAAAUGAACAUUUCUACAGUGGAAUUGUGGGUUCCGCCCAUAUGUAAAUGAAGCUGGGCUGCCGCUGUACCAAUGGGAAGCUGAUUCUAACUGAAACCCACAGCCGACCGUUGGUGAGUGCCACGUGAUCUGGACUGCGAAUUAUUCCAGUGACCAUAUCAAAGAUGGCGACCGCCUGUAUCAAGUGGCUUGUUGUACGCAUGUGUAACGUUCUGCUUAUUCCAUCUUUAAUGUAGUCAAUAAAGUUCUAUUUGUUUC